This is a non-coding RNA of Plutella xylostella (diamondback moth), 689 nucleotides long. NCBI's taxonomy places the organism in Eukaryota, Metazoa, Arthropoda, Insecta, Lepidoptera, Plutellidae. The record is from RefSeq and is a predicted model, not a curated record.
AAAUUUGGGCCAUUAUUUUAUUUUAGGGACCAUUAUCGGUCCCCUACAAAGAAACAUUUUUAAAAAAUUAAAUAAUGAAAUUCAGGAAUAUAGCUACCGUCUGUAGCAAUUAAAUAAGACACCGGUCACAGAAAAUAUAAUGAAUUUAUGUAAAAUACUUUAUUUAUUUACAAAUUACGGUAACUCUGUUGUUGUUUUUGGUAACGCAAUUGUUUUUCAUACAAAAAUUGUCUGUCCCUCGGAGCGAGUCAUAUGAAACAAGCACAACGUGUGUAAAAAAUUAUAAUGGAAACAUUUUUUUUGAAUAUUAUAACGAAUAUGUCAUUAUUUAAACUUUACUUCACGGUAAUAUUCAUGAUUUUAUAUGAACAUAUUAUGGGACAAUUAAUAUUCCUGGCCGAGUCCCCAAGCCUAAGCAAAAAUACACCUACACUAGGUUACCCUAGGAAAUUCAAUCAUAAAUAAACUUUUUUUCACUUUCUUACACCUAAGAUCAUUUGAAUGGCUGUGUAUUUGUAUCGGAGUGCAGGAAGGAGAGCGGGACGGAUAAAAUGACCAAGUCUUUCGGAUGAGAGUCCUGGAGAGAAGCGCGUGUAUUUAUUGUGACGCCACUGAGUUACCGGCGACAUACGUAUAACAUUUCAGACUCAAUGGCGUAAACAGCGGCUGAAAAACAACGGCUUUAUAGG